This 435-nucleotide ribosomal RNA is filed under the name uncultured bacterium. RNAcentral describes it as "partial 16S ribosomal RNA". It matches the Rfam family "Bacterial small subunit ribosomal RNA", at positions 29 to 507 of the family's 1533-position model. The record is from RNAcentral.
AGCGAACGCUGGCGACAGGCUUAACACAUGCCAGUCGAGCGGGCACUUUCGGGUGUCAGCGGCGGACGGGUGAGUAACGCGUGGGAACGUGCCCUCUGGUUCGGAAUAACUCAGGGAAACUUGAGCUAAUACCGGAUACGCCCUUUUGGGGAAAGGCUUGCUGCCGGAGGAUCGGCCCGCGUCUGAUUAGCUAGUUGGUGAGGUAACGGCUCACCAAGGCGACGAUCAGUAGCUGGUCUGAGAGGAUGAUCAGCCACACUGGGACUGAGACACGGCCCAGACUCCUACGGGAGGCAGCAGUGGGGAAUAUUGGACAAUGGGCGCAAGCCUGAUCCAGCCAUGCCGCGUGAGUGAUGAAGGCCUUAGGGUUGUAAAGCUCUUUUAUCCGGGACGAUAAUGACGGUACCGGAGGAAUAAGCCCCGGCUAACUUCGUG